CAGAGGACAGAGCAGUCUAAUCAUCCUUCACCAAUCUCAAACUUGAGUCUCAGAGCCCAUCCCUGGUCAACCCAGGAUCACAUGCUGUUCUGGCCCUACCUGUGUCUGUGGGCAGCUCUUUACUCUCUCUGAGUUGGUUUCCUUGCGUCCUGCCUUCAGGGUCUGAUUCCUCCAGGAAGUGUCCAGCAUCCAGGACAGAUAAAAAAAAGAAAGGAGUGUCACAGAGAGCCCACCCCACACCUGGACUCUGGCAUGGUAGCCAUACUCCAGGUAAUCAGACUCCAACCUGGAGUGGCCAACAGGUGACCACUGUGGCCCACCUCCCUCCCAGAGCCUGGGGGAACCUCACAGCACCAGAGCUCGGGGCUGGAAACCAGCUGGAAAGGAGCCCACUUAGAGGGGCUGAGAGCUUCAGGAAGGGAAAAGGGGAGGGAGACAGUGAGUGAGGAGGAGAAAGGGAAUAAAGAGGAAGAGAAGGAGAGAUCAAAGGAAGACAGACAAAUGGGUAGGGCAGGGAGACAGGGCUAUUGGUGGGUGUUGGUUGUGCAGCAGGGGAACCCGGGUGUGAGUCCUAGCACUCACACAACAGCCUGCCAUGUGCCUGGAAACCUGGUUGUGUGUGUGUGUGUGGGGUUAGACAGUGGAUUACCAGGACUUGCUGGCUGGCCAGUCUCACCAUGUCAGCAAGUUGCAAGUUCAACAAAAGACCUUGUCUCAAAGAUAAAGGUGGAGAACCUGGCAGUGAUGGUACACAACUUUAUUCCCAGCACUUGGGAGGCAGAGGCAGGAGGAUCUCUGAGUUCAAGGCCAGUUUGGACUACAGAGUGAAUUCCAGGCGACUCAGGCUAUACAGAGAAACCUCUUUCAAAAAACCAACAAACCAAAAACAAAAGAAACAAAAAACCCAAAACAACAACAAAAAAACAAAAAACAAAAAAACCUCACACCAAUAAAUAAGCAAAAUAAAAUUAAGGUUGAGAAUCACAGAGGAGACACCAGAUGUUGAUGUCUUAGCUCCACACACAGGUACUCACAGGUGAGUACACCAUAAACAGACACACGCACACAUACAAACAACAAAAAUUAAAUAGGUGAUACCCAAUAUUGAUUUCUGUCUUACACAAGACACACACACACACUGGAGAUGACAGGAAGAGUGCAAGAAAGAGGAGGGAAAACUAGGAGGACCACAGGAGCAUGAGUGACUGGGUAGAGCACCAUGAGGAAUGCCAGACAGAGGCGGGGAGCCAGAAAGGAGAAGGGAGAAGUGAUCAGCAGCGUGGAACAGAAUAGGUAGGUGAGUAGGAGAGACUGAAAAUCAAAGACAAGAAAGGCAGGGAAAUGGUCAAGGAAGAUAAACAGUAGAGAUGCCAAGGGAGAGGGGUAACAUAAUUUGAAUGAGGGAGGAAUGACCAUCGGGAUGGGGUGGUGAUGUUACCGUUGGGAGAGAGAUGGGUUGUAGAGAAAUGGAGGAAGAAAGAGAGUGGUUGUGACAGGGAACAGAACAAAGGCAGAUUCCAGGAAGACAGGACAGAAACGGGGUAGAGAGCCCCAGAAAGGAGGGAUGGGGUGCCUAGGGAGGGAAGGAGGUGGGAGUAGAGAAAAGAGCAGGAAGACAUGGCGGGUAGAGAAGGUGAGGGAGGGGGGCUGGGUGUACUGAACGCUCUUGAUCCAGACAGGGCUGUGUGGAGGGACCCAGGAGGACAUCAAGCCCUGGGUAUACUGCCCCACAACUUCUGAGAACCCAGCACAGGUGACAGGGAAGUCCAGAGGGAAUGGGGGGAGGUCGAAGACAGGAGACAAGGAAGAGGCAUCAGGGCAAGGCCUGAGGGAGCUAUGAAACGGGAAAUGUUAUGAUGGAGAAAUGAGCAGGGCGGUGGUGGUGCUCGCCUGGAAUCUCAGCACUCAGGAGGCAGAGGCCAGCUUGGCCUACAGAGUGAGUUCCAGGACAGCUGGAGAUGUUACACAGAGAAUCCCUGUCUCAAAAAUACAAAAGAAAAGAGAGAGAGAGAAACUAGAGUGCGUGUAAAGUACAGAGCAGAGGAAGAUAAUUUUAAAAAGUGUGAAGGUGCCAUAGGAAAAGGGGGAGGAAGAGGAGGAAAGAGAUGGGAAGAGAAAUGAGGCAGGGGAUUAGGAGGGGAUGGAGCAGGAGUAGACUGAGUUGGAGAGAGGGUAAGGAGGAAGAGAGAAGGGAGACAAAGGGGAAGAGGAGGAGGUUGUGGAAAGGGGGCACAGGAGGAAGGGACUCGGAUCAAGAGCGGGCGCGGAGGAGGAGAGGUGAGGACAUGAAGGAGGCAGAGGAUGCCCACGAAGAACAAGAGUAAGGAGAAAAGCGGAGGAAGAGAGAACAGAUGGGGGAGAAGGAGAGAAUAUGGCAGGAAGAGGGGAGGGAAGAAAAGGAGAUGGAAGAGGAAAACAGGAGUUUGUAUGGAUAAGAGAAAAGUCAAUGGAGAAAUGGGGGACGGGAAGAAGCGAGUGGAAGAGGUCAGUCCACAAGAAAGCUAAUAGGACACAGGAGACAUUAGAAACAAGAGCAGGGAGGAAAAGCAGAGGGACAGAAGAAAAGAGGAAAGAGGCACAGAAUGAAGAGGGGGAUGCAGUGUGAGCAGAGGAGGAAGGAACAAGUAGGAGGAGGACCACACUCCAGCCACAAGGGAGACAGAGGAGGAAAAGUAGGAGGGAGGACCACACUCCAGCCCCAAGGGAGACAGAGGAGGAAAAGUAGGAGGGAGGACCACACUCCAGCCCCAAGGGAGACAGAGGAGGAAAAGUAGGAGGGAGGACCACACUCCAGCCCCAAGGGAGACAGAGGAGGAAAAGGAGACAGGAGACGGAGGAAGAGGACAGUGUGGAUGAAGGCUAGGAAUGAGGAGCAGGAGAAGGAGAAGGGAAGUGCGGGGGAUACGGCUAAGCAGGAGAAGGUUGGGUGGGAGCAAGGAAAAGAAAGAGAAGGAGCCAGAGGAAAUGGAGGGGGGUGAGGCAGGAAAGGAGAUGGAGGAGAUAGAAAGGGGAGGCAAGAGGAGAAAGGGAUAGAGAAGAUAAAGGAGGGGAAGGAAGAAGAGAAGAUACAGGACAUGGAGGAGAAAACAGAAGACGCUCUAGAGAAGGAGACAGAGGAAGAAGAUGGGAAAGGGGAAGACGGGAGGGGGGCAGAGGAGACAGGGGAGGGAAAGAAGGAAGAGAGCGGGAUGGAUGAGAUUGAGGAGAGAAGGAAGGCGGACAAAGGGAAGUUGGUGAUAGAGGAAGACAGCAGAGGACGUUGACGGUAAAUGAAAAGGAAUAGAUGAGAUAAAAGAGGAAGCAAGAAGAGAAGAGGAGAGAAUAGCAGAGGAGGGGACGGGGACGAAGGGAAAGGAGGGGAUAGAAGAGAUGGAGGAGGUAAAGAGGGUAGACAGAAGGUAGAGGAGGGAGACAAAGGGGGAUAGCUGAGAUAAAGGAGAUGGAGAAGAAAGGGAUAGAGGCGAUAAAGAAGGAGGAGCUGGAGAGGGGCUGGAAGGGUUAGAGGCGUGGUAUAGUAGGUGGAGGGAUAGAGGAGACGGUGGAGGGGAGGAGGAAGAAGAGGGCUACAACAGAUGGAGGAGGCUGAGGGGAUGGAGGUGGGGAAGUAAGGGAAGGAAGUGACAAGAUGGAGGAGGGGAGGAGAAGGGGAGGGGUGGGGAGAUGUAGUAGGAAUAAUUAGGAUAAACAGAAGCAUGAACAGUAAGAGAUGUCAGAGAGAGGGAGGAGCAGCAGGAGCUAUUGGAUGAGAUACUGUAAAGGGGACGGAAGGACGAGGGAGGAAAAAGACGAGGAAAGGGGAAAGAGAAGGUUGAGGAUGUGGGGCAGACAUAGGGAUACACGUAGAGGGUUAAAAGACAAAUAAGGUCAGAAGAGGGGAGUGAAGAGAAAGCGGGAUGAAGAUGGAUGGUGUUAGGGCAGCAGAGGAGAGGAGCAGAAAGGAGGAGGAAUUGAGGGGAGAGAGAAAAAGAAGAGCUGAAUUAAGGAUAAAAAGGAAGAGGAAAAGGAAGAAUAAAAGAAAACUGGGCAUCAGGAGAGGACUAGAUGAAGGAAGAAAAGGAGGGGAGGGGACUAUUUAGGGGUGAAACAGGGGUUGCACAGGAGUAGAGACAGAGGGGAGAAUGUUGAAGAGAGGACAGGGAGCAGUGAGGCAGGAGCACAGGACAAUAUAAAGCAGGAGGGGAAGACGGGGAGGGAGCGGCAGAGGCAGGGCAGGAAUAAGGAAGAGGGGGAAGAAAACUAGAGAAUAGGAAGGAUGGGAAAGUAAUAAAUGUAGAAGGAAGAACAAGAGAAACAGGAUGGGAAAGAAAAAGCAGAGCCUGCAGGAGAUGCUGCGAGGAGGAAGAGCGAGAAAUAGAAGUGGAGGGGUGAGGGGGGCUGUCGAGAAGGAAGAUUCGGAACAGGAAUGAGCGAGAAAGGAGGUGGGGUUAGAGGGGAAGGGGAAGAGGAAAUGACUUAGAAGUGGAGGAGAGUAACUAGGAGUAGAAAGAGGGGUGCAAUAAGAAAUUAGAGGGAGCUUAAUGGAGAUUAAAAGAAGACAGAGGAAGAGCGGGAGAGAAAGCAGGUGUGGCGAGAGGGUGGGUGGGAAAGUGGAGGGGACACAAGGUAGGAGGAGCAGGAAGGUGAAAUAGGUCACAGGGAGGAAACAGACAGGAAAGAGCUGAGAAAGUGUCAUUUCCUAAAAUACAUUUAAGAAAAUGUCAAGAAGACGGUGAGGAAGAAAAGGGGGAAACUGGAGGGGUGGAGGAAAAGAAGAGUGAGGAAGGGGUGAGAGUGGGGAGGAGAGCAACAGAGGGGGAGGAAGAGGAGGGGGAACCAUGGGAUGUAACGGGCAAAGCAGGAAGAGGAGAAAGGGAAAGGAAGGAAGAGCAGGGAGGAGAGAGGAAAGCGGGGAGCAGUAGGGCAGGAGGAAGGGCUAGGAGGCAGAGAGUGGACGAGGUGAGAAUGGGGGGUGAUGGAGGAAGGAACAGGGUAGAAGAGGGAGGGUGGGCAGUGACGAGGAAGAGGAGGAGAGUCCAUGGGAGGAGAAAGAGGAAGCUGCAGAAGUGAGGGGAGGAGGGCGGGUGGUGAAGUUAAAGCAGGGUGGAAGGAAAAGGGUGAAAGAGGAAGCAAAGGAGAGAAGUAGGAAGGGAGGCUGAAGAAAGAUGAAGGAGCAGGGGAGGAAGGGGAGGAGCAGGGGAGGAAGGUGAAAUGGAAAAGAAUGGCGAUGAGGAGACGGAAGGUGGAGGUGGAGGGCAGGCGACAGAGAAGCUGCAGAAGGGGGAGCGGGUGACAUGUAGACGGAUGAGGAGGAAAAGAGGAGUAGAAAAUAGAGGAGAUGGAAGAGAAAAUAAGAGGAAAGGAAGAGGGAGUGGGAGCAGACAGGAGGAAGGGAGAUGGGGAGGAGGAGGAGGAGGAGGGAGAGACAAUGGGGGGAUUGGAGGAGAUGCGAGAGGAACAUACGGAAGAUUAGGGUACGCAGGAGAGGAAAUGGAGAGGGAAGAGACAGAAGAGGAGGAGAUGAAGGGGUAGGAGGAAGAGGAGGAAAUGGGGAUAAUAGUAAGAGAGUUGAGGAGGAAGAGAAAAAUAAGCAGCAGAAAGAAACAGGAGCAGCUGGGCGUUGGUGGUGCACGCCUUUAAUCCCAGCACUCGGGAGGCAGAGGCAGAGGCAGAGGCAGGCAGAUCUCUGUGAGUUCGAGGCCAGCCUGGUCUCCAGAGCCAGUGCCAGGACAGGCUCCAGAGCUACACAGAGAAACCCUGUCUCGGACCCCCCCCCAAAAAAAAAAGAAAGAAAGAAACAGGAGUAGAAAAAAGAAGGAGAUGAAGGAGGAAGAGAAGAUGAGGCAAGGGAAAUUUGCAAGUCAUGAGUGAGGUGACGAUAAGGAAGGAAAGGAAGAGGAUGAGGGGGAGGAUGGGAGAGAGGAGGGGAGGGGAAGCCAGAGAGAAGAAAGGAGGACGAGGAGACAGGCCAGGGAGCAGGCAGGGGGCAGGGUGCAGUGUAGAAUAUAACGAAGAGAAGCAUAUAGAAGAGACAGGAGGCGGUGGAGAAGGUGGUGAGGAGAUGGGAGAGAGGAGGCUGAGGAGGAGGUGAAGGAGGAAACGACGGGGAUAUUGGAGAGUGGGAUGAUAAGGGGGUGGGAGAGCGAAGGCGUGAAGGAGGAUAUUGAAAAAGACGGAAAUGAAAACAGAGGGGGAUGGAGGGGCAGGAGUGUGGAGAUCAUGGGGUUAGAUAAGAGGGCAGGGGUAGAGAGGGGGUGGGUGAAGAAGGGAAGACAGGAUAAAGGUGAAGGAAGUGGUGAGGGAGGCAGACACAGAGAUGUAGCUGCGGAGCCGUAGGAGACAAAGUUAAAAGAGAUUAGAGAAGAGAAGGAAAUCGAGGAAAGAUAAAGGAUACAGUAGGAAGAAGACAGGAGAGGAAGAGGUGGAGAAGGAGGGGGAGGGAGAUGGGGGAGGAGUAGAUGGGGAGAGGUUGGAGAAAGAAAAGAUGGAGCAGGAAGCAAGAGGAAGAGGAGGAGGCAAUGUAGGAGGAAGGCAAGGAGGAAAUUGAGAAAGACAGGAGGAAAGAAAUGGAGGAGAAGGAAGCAGA
This 6562-nucleotide long non-coding RNA is filed under the name Cricetulus griseus (Chinese hamster). RNAcentral's name for it is "lncRNA (ENSCGRG00015037010.1)". Lineage: Eukaryota; Metazoa; Chordata; Mammalia; Rodentia; Cricetidae. The record is from RNAcentral.